UAACCUGCCCAAGAGAUCGGGAUAACACCUGGAAACAGAUGCUAAUACCGGAUAACAACAGAUGAUGCCUAUCAACUGUUUAAAAGAUGGUUCUGCUAUCACUCUUGGAUGGACCUGCGGUGCAUUAGCUGUUGGUAGGGUAACGGCCUACCAAGGCGAUGAUGCAUAGCCGAGUUGAGAGACUGAUCGGCCACAUUGGGACUGAGACACGGCCCAAACUCCUACGGGAGGCAGCAGUG
Molecule: ribosomal RNA, 239 nt
Filed under: uncultured Lactobacillus sp.
Lineage: Bacteria; Bacillati; Bacillota; Bacilli; Lactobacillales; Lactobacillaceae
Description: partial 16S ribosomal RNA
Rfam family: Bacterial small subunit ribosomal RNA
Source: RNAcentral